This is a long non-coding RNA of Oryzias melastigma (Indian medaka), 297 nucleotides long. RefSeq lists it as uncharacterized. The transcript has 4 exons. The record is from RefSeq and is a predicted model, not a curated record. Lineage: Eukaryota; Metazoa; Chordata; Actinopteri; Beloniformes; Adrianichthyidae.
GCCAUGUAGAACCUCUUUUGUGCGUCUCCUCUUUGAUCUGUUUGUGAGGGGAUGGACACAGAUCUUCAUCUGACGGCCUGAACAUCCUCUUCACCAACACGCCUCUGAAAACACAAACACGUGGUAAACACCUGAAAGGAGAGUUUUAAGAUGUGAAAACUCUGAAGAUGAAUGCUGACAGACCACUAGAGGGCGAACUGAUGCAAGGAUUUCCCUGCAGUCCUGCAGAGGAAGCCAUUCAUCACCUUGUCACAGAAGACCUUGAUCUGCGAGUAGGCCCUGUGAAGGGGCUUGUUG